GACGAACGCUGGCGGCGUGCCUAAUACAUGCAAGUCGAGCGAAGUUUUUCUGGUGCUUGCACUAGAAAAACUUAGCGGCGAACGGGUGAGUAACACGUAAAGAACCUGCCUCAUAGACUGGGACAACUAUUGGAAACGAUAGCUAAUACCGGAUAACAGUAUUUCUCGCAUGAGAGAUAUUUAAAAGUUGGUUAUGCUAACACUAUGAGAUGGCUUUGCGGUGCAUUAGCUAGUUGGUGGGGUAAAGGCCCACCAAGGCGACGAUGCAUAGCCGACCUGAGAGGGUGAUCGGCCACACUGGGACUGAGACACGGCCCAGACUCCUACGGGAGGCAGCAGUAGGGAAUCUUCCGCAAUGGGCGAAAGCCUGACGGAGCAACGCCGCGUGAGUGAAGGCCUUCGGGUUGUAAAGCACUUUUGGCGGGAACGAAAAGGACUGUGCCAAUACCACGGUUCGAUGACGGUACCCGCAGAAUAAGCACCGGCUAACUACGUG
This 496-nucleotide ribosomal RNA is filed under the name uncultured bacterium. RNAcentral describes it as "partial 16S ribosomal RNA". It matches the Rfam family "Bacterial small subunit ribosomal RNA", at positions 28 to 507 of the family's 1533-position model. The record is from RNAcentral.